CACUCAGCAGGAUUACUAGCGCAACGACACAUCAUCAGUAGGGUAAAACUAACCUGUCUCACGACCGUCUAAGCCCAGCUCACGUUCCCU
Coturnix japonica (Japanese quail) is the source of this 90-nucleotide non-coding RNA. Lineage: Eukaryota; Metazoa; Chordata; Aves; Galliformes; Phasianidae. The record is from RefSeq and is a predicted model, not a curated record.